RNAcentral lists this long non-coding RNA (817 nucleotides) under Anas platyrhynchos platyrhynchos (common mallard). RNAcentral's name for it is "lncRNA (ENSAPLG00000024219.1)". Lineage: Eukaryota; Metazoa; Chordata; Aves; Anseriformes; Anatidae. The record is from RNAcentral.
UGGGAACAUUGGGAUCAUACUGGGAUCAUACUGGGAUUGAACUGGGAUCAUACUGGGAUUAUACUGGGAUUAUACUGGGAUUGUAGUGGGAUUAUACUGGGAUUAUACUGGGAUUAUACUGGGAUCAUACUGGUUUAUACUGGUGCCCGCAGAGCACUGGGGCUGGGCUUGUGAAUGGGUUGGGGCACUGGGAUCAUACUGGGAUCAAACUGGGAUUGUACUGGGAUUAUACUGGGAUUAUAGUGGGAUCAUAUUGGUUUAUACUGGUUUAUACUGGGAUCAUACUGGUUUCUACUGGUGCACACAGAGCCGGUCUUGUAGAUGGGUUGGGGCACUGGGAUCAUACUGGGCUCAUUCUGGGAUCAUACUGGGACCAUACUGGUUUAUACUGGUUUAUACUGGUUUAUACUGGUUUGUACUGGUUUAUACUGGUUUCCACAGAUCCGCCGCCCUCGCUGCUGGCCCUGCGCGAGACCACCAAGAACCGGCUGCUGGUGGCCCAGGGGGCGCUGCUGCUGCUCUGCGCCGUGGGGCCGGGGCUGCUGCUGCUGCUCAGGGUAAGCCCCGCCCCCUGGGGUUAAGCCCCGCCCCCUGGGGUUAAGCCCCGCCCCCUGCGGUUUAGCCCCGCCCCCCUGGGAUUUAGCCCCCCCCCCCGAGGAGCUAGCCCCGCCCCCUUGGAGUCUCCCCCUACCCCAUAUUUGGUCUGGCCCCGCCCCCUUAUGCCCUGGCCACGCCCCCUUUGGGAUCUGGCCCCGCCCCCUUGGGACAUGGCCCCGCCCCCCUUUGGGCUCUGGCCCCGCCCCCUGACCCUUGGCCC